GAGGAAUAUUGGUCAAUGGGCGGAAGCCUGAACCAGCCAUGCCGCGUGCAGGACGACGGCCCUACGGGUUGUAAACUGCUUUUCCGGGGGAAGAAUAACCCCCCUGCGGGGGGGGAUGCCGGUACCCCGGGAAUAAGGAUCGGCUAACUCCGUGCCAGCAGCCGCGGUAAUACGGAGGAUCCUAGCGUUAUCCGGAUUUACUGGGUUUAAAGGGUGCGUAGGCGGGCGCUUAAGUCCGCGGUGAAAGUCUGCGGCUCAACCGUAGGAUUGCCGUGGAUACUGGGCGUCUUGGAUUCGGUCGGGGCGGGCGGAAUGCGUGGUGUAGCGGUGAAAUGCAUAGAUAUCACGCAGAACGCCGAUAGCGAAGGCAGCUCGCCGGGCCGAUAUCGACGCAGAGGCACGAAAGCGUGGGGAUCAAAC
RNAcentral lists this ribosomal RNA (420 nucleotides) under uncultured bacterium. RNAcentral's name for it is "bacterial SSU rRNA". It matches the Rfam family "Bacterial small subunit ribosomal RNA", at positions 356 to 773 of the family's 1533-position model. The record is from RNAcentral.